GGGAAGAGGGGCAGACAGAACCUGGAGCCUGGGAAGGAAGCACCAUGCCAGCGGGGACAGCAGCUAGAGCCUGGGUGCUGGUUCUUGCUCUAUGGGGUGAGACACUCCCAGCCCCAACUCUCCCCCUCAGCAGCCCUGCUCCCACCCCACCCCCAGUACCUCCCUGCCCCCUAGAAAUCCCCCUGAACCUGGGCACCACUUUCCAAAGACCCUCACCCACCCUGUCCUACACACGCACACCCCAGCCCCACCUCUCCCCUUCCACCCUCCCACAAUGAUGCUAUCACCCAGGAGCUGUAGCUGGUGGUCAGAACAUCACAGCCCGGAUUGGAGAGCCACUUGUGCUAAGCUGUAAGGGGGCCCCUAAGAAGCCGCCCCAGCAGCUAGAAUGGAAACUGAACACAGGAAGAACUGAAGCUUGGAAGGUCCUCUCUCCCCAGGGAGGCCCCUGGGACAGCGUGGCUCGAAUCCUCCCCAAUGGUUCCCUCCUCCUUCCAGCCACUGGAAUUGUCGAUGAGGGGACUUUCCGGUGUCGGGCAACUAACAGGCGAGGGAAGGAGGUCAAGUCCAACUACCGAGUCCGAGUCUACCAGAUUCCUGGGAAGCCAGAAAUUGUGGAUCCUGCCUCUGAACUCACAGCCAGUGUCCCUAAUAAGGUGGGGACAUGUGUGUCUGAGGGAAGCUACCCUGCAGGGACCCUUAGCUGGCACUUAGAUGGGAAACUUCUGAUUCCCGAUGGCAAAGAAACACUCGUGAAGGAAGAGACCAGGAGACACCCUGAGACGGGACUCUUUACACUGCGGUCAGAGCUGACAGUGAUCCCCACCCAAGGAGGAACCCAUCCUACCUUCUCCUGCAGUUUCAGCCUGGGCCUUCCCCGGCGCAGACCCCUGAACACAGCCCCCAUCCAACUCCGAGUCAGGGAGCCUGGGCCUCCAGAGGGCAUUCAGCUGUUGGUUGAGCCUGAAGGUGGAAUAGUCGCUCCUGGUGGGACUGUGACCUUGACCUGUGCCAUCUCUGCCCAGCCCCCUCCUCAGGUCCACUGGAUAAAGGAUGGUGCACCCUUGCCCCUGGCUCCCAGCCCUGUGCUGCUCCUCCCUGAGGUGGGGCACGAGGAUGAGGGCACCUAUAGCUGCGUGGCCACCCACCCUAGCCACGGACCUCAGGAAAGCCCUCCUGUCAGCAUCAGGGUCACAGAAACCGGCGAUGAGGGGCCAGCUGAAGGCUCUGUGGGUGAGUCUGGGCUGGGUACGCUAGCCCUGGCCUUGGGGAUCCUGGGAGGCCUGGGAGUAGUAGCCCUGCUCGUCGGGGCUAUCCUGUGGCGAAAACGACAACCCAGGCGUGAGGAGAGGAAGGCCCCGGAAAGCCAGGAGGAUGAGGAGGAACGUGCAGAGCUGAAUCAGUCAGAGGAAGCGGAGAUGCCAGAGAAUGGUGCCGGGGGACCGUAAGAGCACCCAGAUCGAGCCUGUGUGAUGGCCCUAGAGCAGCUCCCCCACAUUCCAUCCCAAUUCCUCCUUGAGGCACUUCCUUCUCCAACCAGAGCCCACAUGAUCCAUGCUGAGUAAACAUUUGACACGGUGUG
Mus musculus (house mouse) is the source of this 1582-nucleotide RNA transcript. It is a transcript of the gene named advanced glycosylation end product-specific receptor, with no coding region annotated. NCBI's taxonomy places the organism in Eukaryota, Metazoa, Chordata, Mammalia, Rodentia, Muridae. The transcript is spliced from 10 exons. The record is from RefSeq and is marked validated.